UAUCUCUGUAGAGUCUGCAUAUCAAUAAGCGGAGGAAAAGAAACUAACUAGGAUUCCCUCAGUAACGGCAAGUGAAGCGGGAAGAGCUCAAAUUUGAAAUCUUCAAGGUUUUACCUUGACGAAUUGUAGUUUAAAGAGGUGUUUUCUGUUGGUGUUUUGGUAAAAGUUCUUUGGAAUAGGACAUCAUAGAGGGUGAGAAUCCCGUAUUUGACCAUUACUUCCAGCGUUGUGAUACACUUUCAAAGAGUCGGAUUGUUUGGGAAUGCAGUCCAAAAUGGGUGGUAAAUUUCAUCUAAAGCUAAAUAUUGGCGAGAGACCGACAGCGAACAAGUACCGUGAGGGAAAGAUGAAAAGAACUUUGAAAAGAGAGUUAAACAGUACGUGAAAUUGUCAAAAGGGAAGCGUUUGACACCAGUGUUGUUUUCUCGAAAAUCAAUUAAAAAGUAUGGGAUUUUGUAUUGUUAAGACCUUAUCAGCUUACGGUACUUUUUUCUUAUUCUUUUUAAUGCACUUUUCGUUUAACAAGUCAACAUCAAUUUCUUUUGUUGUAAAAGAGUCAUUGGAAGGUGGCUUUCACUUCGGUGAAAGUGUUUAUAGCCUUUGGCUUCUGCAAUCGGAGAGAUUGAGGUCUGCAGCGUAGAUCCUUCGGGGUUAGAUACGUAGAUGCUAAGUUAUAGUUUUUCAUAGACAACUUGUUGACUAUGAUUAAUCAUGUAGCUUACUCGUUUGCGCUAUUCUACCUACGCUUAGGAUGUUGAUCUCUCACAGUCGAGC
RNAcentral lists this ribosomal RNA (774 nucleotides) under uncultured Neocallimastigales. RNAcentral's name for it is "partial large subunit ribosomal RNA". It matches the Rfam family "Eukaryotic large subunit ribosomal RNA", at positions 24 to 645 of the family's 3401-position model. Lineage: Eukaryota; Fungi; Neocallimastigomycota; Neocallimastigomycetes; Neocallimastigales. The record is from RNAcentral.